Molecule: long non-coding RNA, 1858 nt
Filed under: Mus musculus (house mouse)
Lineage: Eukaryota; Metazoa; Chordata; Mammalia; Rodentia; Muridae
Description: long non-coding RNA chr12:71990474-71992332
Source: RNAcentral
UCUAGGGUACAAACGUCUGUUGAGAACAUCUUGCACACAUUCAUAUCAUGUAGAAUGUCAAUCACACUUCGUUUAUAUAUUUAAAACUUGAACACCGUUUCCCCCCUAAUUUCAUCAAUUUUUCUGCCAAGUGCUCUUGAUGACUUCUUUCAUUGGUUUUUUGGUUUUUUUGUUUUUUGAAAUCACACUUUCCCAGUGAUGCCUCCUGGAUCCUGGUUAAGAACCAGAAUUGCCAGAGCUUCCUCAUUGACCUAACAAUACAGAUCUAUAGACCUGACAAAUAAGAUUUCCCAUCCAAGACUUAGUGGAAGAACUCCCUGAAGAUUCUUCUUAAAGGCAUAGGGGUGCUUCUGGGGCGUCUUCAGUUUUCCUCACAGGCCGUGCUGCAUGUCCCAGGAUAAAGGACACUCAGAUGGACACGAAACGUCAACAGUAUCUACAGGGAUGCUCAAAUCUAUUUAUCUCAAAGAAUAUUUGAAGUGAUCGCUGUUACGUGUUGUCAUUUUAAAUUGUGUGUCAGUGACGCUACCUGUACAAUUUCAGUCCAAAAAAUAAAGCUCUCAGGGAGAUAAAACACAAUGAGCAGUAGAGAAUAAAAAUGGACGCUUACCACUGACCUGCCAGCUCCUAGUAUCCUUAAAUUAUAUGGUAUGUAAAGAGGACUGUUACUAUUGUUUUCUUUUGCUUUAUUUAUUUGUACUAGGGUGUGGGGAGGGACUAGCAUUUUCUCUUGUUUUCCAUCUUUCCUUUUGUGGUUGGGUUUCCUGUGGAGAGAGUAGUUUUUCCUAUUGCACUACAAUAUUAUUUACUCGCUAAAUUGAGUUUUCUUUUCAGUCAAGUAUCACAUAUUUAUUAAGCACUUACUAUGUACCAGGCAUAGUAGAGCUGUAGUGGUAAGCAAGACAGAGUCCCUGCCCACCAAGGAGUUCACAUUCUCCACGGUGUUUUCAGGGACGGUAGAAUACCAAUGUGCAUAGUAGACAGGAACCGUACUAUUUAAAAACUAAUCUGUAUGAACUAUAAUGUUUAGUGCAGAUGGCGAGGAAUCUGUGCUGUGUAAAAGCUGUGAAGCAGCGCUCUAAGAAUUGUCAAGAGCUGUGCUUUUUACUUUUUUUUUGUCUUUCUUCAUCACAAACUUAGCGACCUUCUACCCAUUAUGUGGAAGCAAAUGGCUCUUCACUAAGGCAGUCACAGGGACAAAGCAGAGCUGACUCUCCCAGCCCCGCGCUAACCACAGGCUGCAAGCAUCCUGGCUGCGGUGCUGAUGGAGACGUGGCGAGGAGGAGUGGGGUGGGGUGAUGGAUUUCAUUGUUCUGAUCUAAAGUGCCUCUUUGUAUAUUCUUUUCUAUUGAUAGCAGGAAAAGUUUGGUCCAGCUCAGUUUUGGAACUGUGGAGAGAGACUCACAACAGAGAGCAAGUCUGUGUCGCAUGUCCCCUUGCCCCUCUUAGAAUCAUCCUCACAUCCAUGUAGGCCUCCCAGUAGGCCACCUUUGCCAUCCCCAGCUUCUGGGUUUAUUUUCCUAAAGACUGUGUGCAGGAAACUUCAUGUGCCAUUGUUACAAACAAACAAAAAUCGACUUUUUAGACUGGUGCUGGUGUAAGUAGCCACUUUUCUCUCUUGAGUAUGUAUUUUAAAGAUUUUUUUUUAAAUAAUGCCAAAAAUUGAAAAGCAUUAUAAUUUUUAAACUUAAUUAAAUGUCUCGUAUCUUAUUAGCUUAGUAGCUGGAACCACUUAGUCUUUAGGUUGCAAGACUGUUGUUACAGAACCAAGAAAAAAAAAAAGAUGUGUGUGUGUGCUAUGAGACUGUACAUUUUUUUAAAUGGCAAUAUGCAAUAAAGAUGACUUCACUGGGUGUAC